AGUGAACGCUGGCGGUAGGCCUAACACAUGCAAGUCGAACGGCAGCACAGUAAGAGCUUGCUCUUACGGGUGGCGAGUGGCGUACGGAUGAGGAAUACAUCGGAAUCUACUUUUUCGUGGGGGAUAACGUAGGGAAACUUACGCCAAUACCGCAUACGACCUACGGGUGAAAGCAGGGGAUCUUCGGACCUUGCGCGAUUGAACGAGCCGAUGUCGGAUUAGCUAGUUGGCGGGGUAAAGGCCCACCAAGGCGACGAUCCGUAGCUGGUCUGAGAGGAUGAUCAGCCACACUGGAACGGAGACACGGUCCAGACGCCUACGGGAGGCAGCAGUGGGGAAUAUUGGACAAUGGGCGGAAGCCUGAUCCAGCCAUACCGCGUGGGUGAAGAAGGCCUUCGGGUUGUAAAGCCCUUUCGUUGGGAAAGAAAAGCAGCAGGUUAAUACCCCGCUGUUCUGACGGUACCCAAAGAAUAAGCACCGGCUAACUUCGUG
Molecule: ribosomal RNA, 492 nt
Filed under: uncultured bacterium
Lineage: Bacteria
Description: partial 16S ribosomal RNA
Rfam family: Bacterial small subunit ribosomal RNA
Source: RNAcentral